AAAUUGAAGAGUUUGAUCAUGGCUCAGAUUGAAUGCUGGCGGCAGGCCUAACACAUGCAAGUCGAACGGUAACAGGAAACAGCUUGCU
RNAcentral lists this ribosomal RNA (88 nucleotides) under Escherichia coli. RNAcentral's name for it is "partial 16S ribosomal RNA". It matches the Rfam family "Bacterial small subunit ribosomal RNA", at positions 1 to 90 of the family's 1533-position model. The record is from RNAcentral. Lineage: Bacteria; Pseudomonadati; Pseudomonadota; Gammaproteobacteria; Enterobacterales; Enterobacteriaceae.